UGCAAGUCGAGCGGGGAAGGGUAGCUUGCUACCUAACCUAGCGGCGGACGGGUGAGUAAUGCUUAGGAAUCUGCCUAUUAGUGGGGGACAACGUUUCGAAAGGAACGCUAAUACCGCAUACGCCCUACGGGGGAAAGCAGGGGAUCUUCGGACCUUGCGCUAAUAGAUGAGCCUAAGUCAGAUUAGCUAGUUGGUGGGGUAAAGGCCUACCAAGGCGACGAUCUGUAGCGGGUCUGAGAGGAUGAUCCGCCACACUGGGACUGAGACACGGCCCAGACUCCUACGGGAGGCAGCAGUGGGGAAUAUUGGACAAUGGGGGGAACCCUGAUCCAGCCAUGCCGCGUGUGUGAAGAAGGCCUUUUGGUUGUAAAGCACUUUAAGCGAGGAGGAGGCUCUUCUAGUUAAUACCUAGGAUGAGUGGACGUUACUCGCAGAAUAAGCACCGGCUAACUCUGUGCCAGCAGCCGCGGUAAUACAGAGGGUGCGAGCGUUAAUCGGAUUUACUGGGCGUAAAGCGUACGUAGGCGGCUUUUUAAGUCGGAUGUGAAAUCCCUGAGCUUAACUUAGGAAUUGCAUUCGAUACUGGGAAGCUAGAGUAUGGGAGAGGAUGGUAGAAUUCCAGGUGUAGCGGUGAAAUGCGUAGAGAUCUGGAGGAAUACCGAUGGCGAAGGCAGCCAUCUGGCCUAAUACUGACGCUGAGGUACGAAAGCAUGGGGAGCAAACAGGAUUAGAUACCCUGGUAGUCCAUGCCGUAAACGAUGUCUACUAGCCGUUGGGGCCUUUGAGGCUUUAGUGGCGC
Molecule: ribosomal RNA, 799 nt
Filed under: Acinetobacter sp. 2P2B11
Lineage: Bacteria; Pseudomonadati; Pseudomonadota; Gammaproteobacteria; Moraxellales; Moraxellaceae
Description: bacterial SSU rRNA
Rfam family: Bacterial small subunit ribosomal RNA
Source: RNAcentral